CCUACGGGAGGCAGCAGUGAGGAAUAUUGGUCAAUGGGCGCGAGCCUGAACCAGCCAAGUCGCGUGAGGGAAGACGGUCCUAUGGAUUGUAAACCUCUUUUGUCGGGGAGCAAAAGACGCCACGCGUGGCGUUCAGAGAGUACCCGAAGAAAAAGCAUCGGCUAACUCCGUGCCAGCAGCCGCGGUAAUACGGAGGAUGCGAGCGUUAUCCGGAUUGAUUGGGUUGAAGGGGUGCACAGGCGGAAGAUCAAGUCAGCGGUAAAAUUGAGGGGCGCAACCUCUUCGAGCCGUUGAAACUGGUUUUCUUGAGUGAGUGAGAAGUAUGCGGAAUGCGUGGUGUAGCGGUGAAAUGCAUAGAUAUCACGCAGAACUCCGAUUGCGAAGGCAGCAUACCGGCGCUCAACUGACGCUCAUGCACGAAAGUGUGGGUAUCGAACAGGAUUAGAUACCCCUGUAGUC
This 459-nucleotide ribosomal RNA is filed under the name uncultured bacterium. Its description in RNAcentral is "partial 16S ribosomal RNA". It matches the Rfam family "Bacterial small subunit ribosomal RNA", at positions 338 to 795 of the family's 1533-position model. The record is from RNAcentral.